GUCAUUCUGAAACCCAAUCUGGGGACAGUGCAGACUAAAUAAAAUUUCAUUUUGAUUUGGCCUCCCGCUGAGAAUGGGACUGCUUUGUUUCAGCCGACAGAACUAGCAAGCCAGAAAGGAGACUGAUCAGUUCCUGGUUGGGAGGAAACUCAGAGCACGGCAAAUAUAGACAAUAUGGAAUAUGCAAGAAACUACCAAUGAGAUAAGGCAAUUCUGGGCCACUGAACUUUGGACUCAUUUGGCUAGUCUGGCAUGGUGAGAAAGAAGACUUCUCUCAGUAAAGCAAGUGGUUCCUGCAAAUGGUUCGGUGACUCAGAAACUGACAACAGCGACUUGCAAAGGAACAAAGGAGGAGGAUGACAAUCCAGAGUGUGAGCAGGAGGGAUUCAAUUGUGGGUGAGAACAUAGUGGAACAACAGAGCAUAUGAUUCAGGAUUCACUUGGAAGGUCUGAAUGAGACCCUCUCUUUUCCAUCUGAGCCACAGACCAGAGCGAAGCCUGCAGUCCACAGGGACUUCACCAGAACAUGUACAUGGAGGAUGCAGAAAACACAUCUUGGACUUUUCCUAGCCAAACAUAUUCCCACAGGAACCCUAAAGCAAACUUCAAGUACCAGUCAGGAAAAAAAUGUGUCAGAUAUUUAGAUAUGGUGCCGGGAUGUAAAAUAUAUCUGAGAAUGAUUCUCCUGCUUCGUGGGUGAGAUGAUUACAACAGUCCUUCAUGGAUGGGAUGGUUACAAUGCCAGUGCAUUAAGAUUCAUUUGUUGGUGCUUUUGGAUUUCAUCAAAGAUUGGUCAGCAAUAUGUUCAGCACAUUCAUGACUUGCUUCAUUACAGAACUCAGAAGAGAUAAAUAGCAAUUCUACUAUAUAUAUUUUCCCCAGUUUUUUUCAACACUUCUAGAUAUUUCCCCCCCACACACACUUUUCAACAACUUUUCAACAACAUAAAGCUGCUAGGAGAGCUCAUGUGGCAAUUUGGGCUGAAUUGCCAUCAAUAUGUGGAUAACACUUCUGUCUUGUGCUUCCAACCCAGGGAGGCUGUGGCAACUGUGAACAGGUGCAAGUUGGAUGCAAUUUUUGAAUGGAUGAUGACUAACAAAUAACUUAAUCCUGUCAAAAUGGAGGUACUACUGGAAGGGAAAA
This is a long non-coding RNA of Sphaerodactylus townsendi, 1143 nucleotides long. RefSeq lists it as uncharacterized. The record is from RefSeq and is a predicted model, not a curated record. NCBI's taxonomy places the organism in Eukaryota, Metazoa, Chordata, Lepidosauria, Squamata, Sphaerodactylidae. The transcript has 7 exons.